RNAcentral lists this transfer RNA (49 nucleotides) under Pelusios castaneus (West African mud turtle). Its description in RNAcentral is "partial transfer RNA-Leu". Lineage: Eukaryota; Metazoa; Chordata; Testudines; Pelomedusidae. The record is from RNAcentral.
ACUUUCAAAGGACAGAAGUAAUCCUGUGGCUUUAGGAGCCAUUUCCCCU